GCCCGGGUGGUGAAAUUGGUAGACACAGCGGACUUAAAAUCCGCCGGGACUUUAAAAUCCCUUGCCGGUUCAAGUCCGGCCCUGGGCA
Molecule: transfer RNA, 88 nt
Filed under: Candidatus Ichthyocystis hellenicum
Lineage: Bacteria; Pseudomonadati; Pseudomonadota; Betaproteobacteria; Burkholderiales
Description: bacterium 2013Arg42i tRNA
Rfam family: tRNA
About the family: Transfer RNA (tRNA) molecules are approximately 80 nucleotides in length. Their secondary structure includes four short double-helical elements and three loops (D, anti-codon, and T loops). Further hydrogen bonds mediate the characteristic L-shaped molecular structure. tRNAs have two regions of fundamental functional importance: the anti-codon, which is responsible for specific mRNA codon recognition, and the 3' end, to which the tRNAs corresponding amino acid is attached (by aminoacyl-tRNA synthetases). tRNAs cope with the degeneracy of the genetic code in two manners: having more than one tRNA (with a specific anti-codon) for a particular amino acid; and 'wobble' base-pairing, i.e. permitting non-standard base-pairing at the 3rd anti-codon position.
Source: Rfam by way of RNAcentral